Molecule: transfer RNA, 84 nt
Filed under: Planctomycetaceae bacterium
Lineage: Bacteria; Pseudomonadati; Planctomycetota; Planctomycetia; Planctomycetales; Planctomycetaceae
Description: tRNA-Leu
Rfam family: tRNA
About the family: Transfer RNA (tRNA) molecules are approximately 80 nucleotides in length. Their secondary structure includes four short double-helical elements and three loops (D, anti-codon, and T loops). Further hydrogen bonds mediate the characteristic L-shaped molecular structure. tRNAs have two regions of fundamental functional importance: the anti-codon, which is responsible for specific mRNA codon recognition, and the 3' end, to which the tRNAs corresponding amino acid is attached (by aminoacyl-tRNA synthetases). tRNAs cope with the degeneracy of the genetic code in two manners: having more than one tRNA (with a specific anti-codon) for a particular amino acid; and 'wobble' base-pairing, i.e. permitting non-standard base-pairing at the 3rd anti-codon position.
Source: RNAcentral
GCGCAAGUGGCGAAAUCGGCAGACGCGCUAGCUUCAGGAGCUAGUGGGGUAACACCCGUGGAGGUUCAAGUCCUCUCUUGCGCA